ACACUCCUGCGGGAGGCAGCAGUGGGGAAUAUUGGACAAUGGGCGCAAGCCUGAUCCAGCCAUGCCGCGUGAGUGAUGAAGGCCCUAGGGUUGUAAAGCUCUUUCACCGGUGAAGAUAAUGACGGUAACCGGAGAAGAAGCCCCGGCUAACUUCGUGCCAGCAGCCGCGGUAAUACGAAGGGGGCUAGCGUUGUUCGGAUUUACUGGGCGUAAAGCGCACGUAGGCGGACUAUUAAGUCAGGGGUGAAAUCCCGGGGCUCAACCCCGGAACUGCCUUUGAUACUGGUAGUCUUGAGUUCGAGAGAGGUGAGUGGAAUUCCGAGUGUAGAGGUGAAAUUCGUAGAUAUUCGGAGGAACACCAGUGGCGAAGGCGGCUCACUGGCUCGAUACUGACGCUGAGGUGCGAAAGCGUGGGAGCAAACAGGAUUAGAUACCCCAGUAGUCCC
Molecule: ribosomal RNA, 446 nt
Filed under: uncultured organism
Description: partial 16S ribosomal RNA
Rfam family: Bacterial small subunit ribosomal RNA
Source: RNAcentral